AUCCAGCUGACGAGUCCAAAAUAGGACGAAAUGUACGUUAAACUGGAU
RNAcentral lists this non-coding RNA (48 nucleotides) under Schistosoma mansoni. Lineage: Eukaryota; Metazoa; Platyhelminthes; Trematoda; Strigeidida; Schistosomatidae. The record is from RNAcentral.